Molecule: ribosomal RNA, 730 nt
Filed under: uncultured bacterium
Lineage: Bacteria
Description: bacterial SSU rRNA
Rfam family: Bacterial small subunit ribosomal RNA
Source: RNAcentral
GUUUGAUCAUGGCUCAGGACGAACGCUGGCGGUGUGCUUAAUACAUGCAAGUCGAACGGCCCUUCGGGUAGUGGCGGACGGGUGAGUAACACGUAGGUAACAUGCCCUAUACUGGGGGAUAACAUCGGGAAACCGGUGCUAAUACCGCAUAAGCCCGAGGUUGAAAGGCCUUUGGUUAAAGAUUUAUCGGUAUAGGAUUGGCCUGCGUCGGAUUAGCUAGUUGGUGGGGUAACAGCCUACCAAGGCUACGAUCCGUAGUUGGUCUGAGAGGAUGACCAGCCACAGUGGGACUGAGACACGGCCCACACUCCUACGGGAGGCAGCAGUAGGGAAUAUUGCGCAAUGGGCGAAACUGACGCAGCAACACCGUGUGCGGGACGAAGCCCUUGGUGUAAACGCUGUCGCAGGGACGAAUAUUGACGGUACCUGCAAAGGAAGCAUCGGCUAACUACGUGCCAGCAGCCGCGUAAUACGUAGGAUGCAAGCGUUGUCCGGAUUUAUUGGGCGUAAGCGUCCGUAGCGGUGAUUUAAGUUCGAUGUUAAGACUGGAGCUCAACUCAACAUGGCAUUGAAUACUGGAUCGCUGGAGUGCGGCAGAGGUAAGGGAAUUUCCGGUGUAGCGUGAAAUGCGUAGAUAUCGGGAGGAACACAGUGGCGAAACGCUUUACUGGGCGUAACUGACGCUGAGGGACGAAAGCAGGGUAGCGAAAGGAUUAGAUACCCCUGUAGU